GGGCCCGCACAAGCGGUGGAACAUGUGGUUUAAUUCGACGCAACGCGCAAAACCUUACCUGGAUUUGACAUCCCGGGCUCACCUCAGAGAUGAGGUUUUCUCUUCGGAGACCCGGUGACAGGUGCUGCAUGGCUGUCGUCAGCUCGUGUCGUGAGAUGUUGGGUUAAGUCCCGCAACGAGCGCAACCCUUGUCCCUAGUUGCCAGCAUUGAGUUGGGCACUCUAGGGAGACUGCCGGUGAUAAGCCGGAGGAAGGUGGGGAUGACGUCAAGUCCUCAUGGCCUUUAUGUCCAGGGCUACACACGUGUUACAAUGGGGGUGACAAGAGUGGCAAGCUGCGAAGCUGCG
This 347-nucleotide ribosomal RNA is filed under the name uncultured bacterium. RNAcentral's name for it is "bacterial SSU rRNA". It matches the Rfam family "Bacterial small subunit ribosomal RNA", at positions 917 to 1267 of the family's 1533-position model. The record is from RNAcentral.